RNAcentral lists this ribosomal RNA (807 nucleotides) under uncultured bacterium. Its description in RNAcentral is "bacterial SSU rRNA". It matches the Rfam family "Bacterial small subunit ribosomal RNA", at positions 62 to 916 of the family's 1533-position model. The record is from RNAcentral.
UCGAACGAACUAUUUAUAGUUAGUGGCAGACGGGUGAGGAACGCGUGGGAACGUACCCCAAAGUUCGGAAUAACUAUUGGAAACGAUAGCUAAUACCGGAUGUGACCGAGAGGUUAAAGGUUUACCGCUUUGGGAGCGGCCCGCGUUAGAUUAGCUAGUUGGUGGGGUAAAGGCCUACCAAGGCAAUGAUCUAUAGCUGGUCUGAGAGGAUGACCAGCCACACUGGGACUGAGACACGGCCCAGACUCCUACGGGAGGCAGCAGUGGGGAAUAUUGGACAAUGGGGGCAACCCUGAUCCAGCAAUGCCGCGUGAAUGAUGAAGGCCUUAGGGUUGUAAAGUUCUUUUAUUGAUGACGAUAAUGACGGUAAUCAAUGAAUAAGCACCGGCUAACUUCGUGCCAGCAGCCGCGGUAAUACGAAGGGUGCUAGCGUUGUUCGGAAUGACUGGGCGUAAAGGGUGCGUAGGCGGCCAGAAGCGUCUGAUGUGAAAUCCCUGGGCUUAACCUAGGAACUGCAUUGGAUACGGUCUGGCUAGAGUCCGCGAGAGGAAGAUGGAAUUGUGCGUGUAGAGGUGAAAUUCGUAGAUAUGCACAAGAACACCGGUGGCGAAGGCGAUCUUCUGGAGCGGUACUGACGCUAAGGCACGAAAGUGUGGGGAGCAAACAGGAUUAGAUACCCUGGUAGUCCACACUGUAAACGAUGAAUGUUAGAUGUCGGGGAGGUUACUCUUCGGUAUCGCAGCUAACGCAUUAAACAUUCCGCCUGGGGAGUACGAUCGCAAGAUUAAAACUCAAAGGAAUUGACGG